RNAcentral lists this small nucleolar RNA (107 nucleotides) under Gossypium hirsutum (cotton). RNAcentral's name for it is "Plant small nucleolar RNA R71". It matches the Rfam family "Plant small nucleolar RNA R71". From Rfam's summary of the family: R71 is a member of the C/D box family of snoRNAs containing the C (UGAUGA) and D (CUGA) box motifs. Multiple nearly identical copies of this snoRNA have been identified in Arabidopsis, and it is thought to function as a 2'-O-ribose methylation guide for 18S ribosomal RNA. Lineage: Eukaryota; Viridiplantae; Streptophyta; Magnoliopsida; Malvales; Malvaceae. The record is from Rfam by way of RNAcentral.
AACCCAUGGUGAGGGCACCUUCGCAAUAGGUCCUUGUAUCUCUCCCACGCAUCAUAAAGGGCUUCCAAAUCCAUCUGCACAAAGGAAGAGAUAUCAUUACGUAAUUU